AUGAACGCUGGCGGCGUGGAUAAGGCAUGCAUGUCGAACGGUUUUCUUUAUUGAAGAAGAUGCGAUUACAUCAAAUUAACAGAUAUUUUGAAAACAGUGGCGAACGAGCUAGUAACACCUUGGUACGUACCCGAAAGUUUGGUAUAGCUCGCCGAAAGGCGGGGUAAUCCCAAAUAGUCCCUUCAUCUAUCGGAUGAUAGGGUAAAGUAGCAAUACGCUUUCGGAUCGGCCUAGGUCCGAUCAGUUAGUUGGUGAGGUAAUGGCUCACCAAGACAAUGACCGGUAGGGG
RNAcentral lists this ribosomal RNA (289 nucleotides) under uncultured bacterium. RNAcentral's name for it is "partial 16S ribosomal RNA". It matches the Rfam family "Bacterial small subunit ribosomal RNA", at positions 29 to 289 of the family's 1533-position model. The record is from RNAcentral.